AACGAACGCUGGCGGCGUGCCUAACACAUGCAAGUCGUGCGAGAAAGUUCCUUCGGGAGCGAGUAAAGCGGCGCACGGGUGAGUAACACGUAGGUAACCUGCCCCCCAGUCUGGAACAACUAGAGGAAACUCUAGCUAAUGCCGGAUGAGACCACGAUCCCCUUCGGGGGGUUGCGGCCAAAGAUGGCCUCUACUUGUAAGCUAUCGCUGAGGGAUGGGCCUGCGGGCCAUUAGCUUGUUGGUGAGGUAACGGCUCACCAAGGCUGUGAUGGCUAGCUGGUCUGAGAGGAUGACCAGCCACACUGGGACUGAGACACGGCCCAGACUCCACGGGA
RNAcentral lists this ribosomal RNA (335 nucleotides) under uncultured bacterium. RNAcentral describes it as "bacterial SSU rRNA". It matches the Rfam family "Bacterial small subunit ribosomal RNA", at positions 29 to 346 of the family's 1533-position model. The record is from RNAcentral.